UACGAAGGGGGCUAGCGUUGCUCGGAAUGACUGGGCGUAAAGGGCGCGUAGGCGGCUUGCACCGUCAGAUGUGAAAUUCCUGGGCUUAACCUGGGGGCUGCAUUUGAUACGUGUGGGCUUGAGUGCGGAAGAGGGUCGUGGAAUUCCCAGUGUAGAGGUGAAAUUCGUAGAUAAUGGGAAGAACACCGGUGGCGAAGGCGGCGACCUGGUCCGUGACUGACGCUGAGGCGCGAAAGCGUGGGGAGCAAACAGG
Molecule: ribosomal RNA, 253 nt
Filed under: uncultured bacterium
Lineage: Bacteria
Description: partial 16S ribosomal RNA
Rfam family: Bacterial small subunit ribosomal RNA
Source: RNAcentral